GACGAACGCUGGCGGCGUGCCUAAUACAUGCAAGUAGAACGCUGAAGAGAGGAGCUUGCUCUUCUUGGAUGAGUUGCGAACGGGUGAGUAACGCGUAGGUAACCUGCCUUGUAGCGGGGGAUAACUAUUGGAAACGAUAGCUAAUACCGCAUAACAAUGGAUGACCCAUGUCAUUUAUUUGAAAGGGGCAAAUGCUCCACUACAAAAUGGACCUGCGUUGUAUUAGCUAGUAGGUGAGGUAACGGCUCACCUAGGCGACGAUACAUAGCCGACCUGAGAGGGUGAUCGGCCACACUGGGACUGAGACACGGCCCAGACUCCUACGGGAGGCAGCAGUAGGGAAUCUUCGGCAAUGGGGGCAACCCUGACCGAGCAACGCCGCGUGAGUGAAGAAGGUUUUCGGAUCGUAAAGCUCUGUUGUAAGUCAAGAACGAGUGUGAGAGUGGAAAGUUCACACUGUGACGGUAGCUUACCAGAAAGGGACGGCUAACUACGUGCCAGCAGCCGCGGUAAUACGUAGGUCCCGAGCGUUGUCCGGAUUUAUUGGGCGUAAAGCGAGCGCAGGCGGUUUGAUAAGUCUGAAGUUAAAGGCUGUGGCUCAACCAUAGUUCGCUUUGGAAACUGUCAAACUUGAGUGCAGAAGGGGAGAGUGGAAUUCCAUGUGUGGCGGUGAAAUGCGUAGAUAUAUGGAGGAACACCGGUGGCGAAAGCGGCUCUCUGGUCUGUAACUGACGCUGAGGCUCGAAAGCGUGGGGAGCGAACAGGAUUAGAUACCCUGGUAGUCCACGCCGUAAACGAUGAGUGCUAGGUGUUGGAUCCUUUCCGGGAUUCAGUGCCGCAGCUAACGCAUUAAGCACUCCGCCUGGGGAGUACGACCGCAAGGUUGAAACUCAAAGGAAUUGACGGGGGCCCGCACAAGCGGUGGAGCAUGUGGUUUAAUUCGAAGCAACGCGAAGAACCUUACCAGGUCUUGACAUCCCGAUGCUAUUUCUAGAGAUAGAAAGUUACUUCGGUACAUCGGUGACAGGUGGUGCAUGGUUGUCGUCAGCUCGUGUCGUGAGAUGUUGGGUUAAGUCCCGCAACGAGCGCAACCCCUAUUGUUAGUUGCCAUCAUUCAGUUGGGCACUCUAGCGAGACUGCCGGUAAUAAACCGGAGGAAGGUGGGGAUGACGUCAAAUCAUCAUGCCCCUUAUGACCUGGGCUACACACGUGCUACAAUGGUUGGUACAACGAGUUGCGAGUCGGUGACGGCAAGCUAAUCUCUUAAAGCCAAUCUCAGUUCGGAUUGUAGGCUGCAACUCGCCUACAUGAAGUCGGAAUCGCUAGUAAUCGCGGAUCAGCACGCCGCGGUGAAUACGUUCCCGGGCCU
This 1369-nucleotide ribosomal RNA is filed under the name uncultured bacterium. RNAcentral describes it as "bacterial SSU rRNA". It matches the Rfam family "Bacterial small subunit ribosomal RNA", at positions 28 to 1381 of the family's 1533-position model. The record is from RNAcentral.